Molecule: ribosomal RNA, 460 nt
Filed under: uncultured bacterium
Lineage: Bacteria
Description: partial 16S ribosomal RNA
Rfam family: Bacterial small subunit ribosomal RNA
Source: RNAcentral
CCUACGGGUGGCAGCAGUGAGGAAUAUUGGUCAAUGGGCGCGAGCCUGAACCAGCCAAGUAGCGUGAAGGAUGACUGCCCUACGGGUUGUAAACUUCUUUUAUAAAGGAGUAAAUGGAGGCACGUGUGCCUUUUUGUCUGUACUUUAUGAAUAAGGAUCGGCUAACUCCGUGCCAGCAGCCGCGGUAAUACGGAGGAUCCGAGCGUUAUCCGGAUGUAUUGGGUUUAAAGGGAGCGUAGAUGGGUUGUUAAGUCAGUUGUGAAAGUUUGCGGCUCAACCGUAAAAUUGCAAUUGAUACUGGCAGCCUUGAGUACAGUUGAGGUAGGCGGAAUUCGUGGUGUAGCGGUGAAAUGCUUAGAGAUCACGAAGAACUCCGAUUGCGAAGGCAGCCUACUAAACUGCCACUGACAUUGAUGCUCGAAAGUGUGGGGAUCAAACAGGAUUAGAUACCCCUGUAGUC